This 859-nucleotide ribosomal RNA is filed under the name Staphylococcus saprophyticus. RNAcentral's name for it is "bacterial SSU rRNA". It matches the Rfam family "Bacterial small subunit ribosomal RNA", at positions 84 to 927 of the family's 1533-position model. The record is from RNAcentral. Lineage: Bacteria; Bacillati; Bacillota; Bacilli; Caryophanales; Staphylococcaceae.
CUUUGACGUUAGCGGCGGACGGGUGAGUAACACGUGGGUAACCUACCUAUAAGACUGGGAUAACUUCGGGAAACCGGAGCUAAUACCGGAUAACAUUUGGAACCGCAUGGUUCUAAAGUGAAAGAUGGUUUUGCUAUCACUUAUAGAUGGACCCGCGCCGUAUUAGCUAGUUGGUAAGGUAACGGCUUACCAAGGCGACGAUACGUAGCCGACCUGAGAGGGUGAUCGGCCACACUGGAACUGAGACACGGUCCAGACUCCUACGGGAGGCAGCAGUAGGGAAUCUUCCGCAAUGGGCGAAAGCCUGACGGAGCAACGCCGCGUGAGUGAUGAAGGGUUUCGGCUCGUAAAACUCUGUUAUUAGGGAAGAACAAACGUGUAAGUAACUGUGCAUGUCUUGACGGUACCUAAUCAGAAAGCCACGGCUAACUACGUGCCAGCAGCCGCGGUAAUACGUAGGUGGCAAGCGUUAUCCGGAAUUAUUGGGCGUAAAGCGCGCGUAGGCGGUUUCUUAAGUCUGAUGUGAAAGCCCACGGCUCAACCGUGGAGGGUCAUUGGAAACUGGGAAACUUGAGUGCAGAAGAGGAAAGUGGAAUUCCAUGUGUAGCGGUGAAAUGCGCAGAGAUAUGGAGGAACACCAGUGGCGAAGGCGACUUUCUGGUCUGUAACUGACGCUGAUGUGCGAAAGCGUGGGGAUCAAACAGGAUUAGAUACCCUGGUAGUCCACGCCGUAAAACGAUGAGUGCUAAGUGUUANGGGGUUUCCGCCCCUUAGUGCUGCAGCUAACGCAUUAAGCACUCCGCCCUGGGGAGUACGACCGCAAGGUUGAAACUCAAAGGAAUUGACGGGGACCCGCACA